This 71-nucleotide transfer RNA is filed under the name Loxodonta africana (African savanna elephant). It matches the Rfam family "tRNA". Rfam says of the family: Transfer RNA (tRNA) molecules are approximately 80 nucleotides in length. The record is from Rfam by way of RNAcentral. Lineage: Eukaryota; Metazoa; Chordata; Mammalia; Proboscidea; Elephantidae.
ACAUUGGUAGUUCAGUGUUAGAAUUCUCACCUUUCGUGCAGGAGAUCUGGGUUUGAUUCCCAGCCAAUGUA